RNAcentral lists this long non-coding RNA (4769 nucleotides) under Nicotiana tabacum (common tobacco). RNAcentral's name for it is "long non-coding RNA (NTAB_LNC004729)". Lineage: Eukaryota; Viridiplantae; Streptophyta; Magnoliopsida; Solanales; Solanaceae. The record is from RNAcentral.
CAAGGUGAUACACUAGGCCGAAUAAAACCCUUAUAAAGAAAUUCCUAUUAACUGAUCCUUCAACUUCUUCAACUCAGGAGGAGCCAUACGGUAAGGAGGAGUAGAAAUGGGUUGAGUGCCCGAUAACAAAUCAAUGCCGAAAUUGUCACGCCACAGGUGCGACCGGCGCUCAGUCGAGUGAACCCAACUAAGCAAGUCUUAUCAAACGCUUCCUACCUAACUCAAUAUGAAUAAGUAAACCAUGCUUCCAUUUAUUUAGACGAGGAAAGAUAGUACAUUCAACGUUGUUAGUUCAUUUUAUAUCAUAACGUUAAGACGUAGUUAAGUUCCAAGAUUCCAUACAAUUACACUUUAGAGAAGCAAGAGUUAGAAUUACAACAUAGUUUGUAUACCCAUCCAACACCCAUACAUAACCCACACAUAUGUCUACGGAGCCUCUAAAGAUACGAAAGACAAGUAUGACAAUGCCGGCAACAAGUCUCCGGCUAUACCUCAAAAGUGGGAGUCUGCAACAAAAGAUGUACAAUAUAACCCCUUGAAGGUGAAAGGGGCUCACCAAGACAUUGAGAAGAAGGUACUCCGCUAUGCCCGAUCGGCACUAUCCGCAAUGGAGCCACCUACAUUCAUAUAAAAAUGUAGCGCCCCCGGCAAAAGGGACGUUAUUACCAUGGAAUAGUACUAGUAUGUCUAACUAAACACCAUCUAGUUAGAAACAACUUUCAUACCAAACAUAAGGAAAUCACAAGUAUAACUCAAAAGCUUUAAACGAUCACAACAUUAUCAAGGUAAGAGAAUCAUACAAUUUUCACAUUUGUUUCCAUAACCUUUAGUUUGGGGCAUUUCAUACUGUUCAUUGUUGUUCACGAUACCACCGCUAGCUUGAACGGAGUCCGAUCUCGACCCGAUUGGCUAGGUUGCCUCAUUUGAGACAUAUACCUCAAUCACAAGCUCAUUCUCACUUACUGGAAUUCAAUAUCAGCACAAUACCACCAUGUGUAUGACAUGGCGUCCGAUCACUGCUCGAUCGGCUAGGCCGCCUUACCAAGGCGUUUCCCUUUUCCAUCAAUCAUCUCACUUAAAUCUUUGUUUCACAUAUAUUAUUUCAUAGGCAUUUAGGGCCACAACUAUCACGUCAUAUAUUUAGGAUUAGGCGACAUUUCACAUCAUUCCUAAUUUCAAUGUUAGAUUUGUAAUUUAGAGUAAUAUGUGCACACAAGAGCAAAUAACACUGUAAGCAUAGAGGAUACUUCACAUAGAUGGCACAACAUAUGCAUCUUCAAUCUCAAUUUAAGGUCUAAGUAUUUCAUUACAUGAUUCAUAUUCCUUGCCCCUUUUCAAGUUAUCAAGACUAGCACAUGGAUCAUAUCGAGACAUAUCUUUCACGUAUAUAAGGUCGCACCCCAAAUUCAUGUGAAACUACAAUCAAUACAACAAUUCAACUUUAAUCUUACCGUGUUUACACAAACACCGAUGGAGCUCAAUUUCUAAAAGACGGGGUUUUAGCCAUACAUACCUCAACUGAGCUUUCUCUAAUCCUAUAACAUUCCGGAAUGUUUGCACUUCAAUCUAUUUAAGAAAUAUAACACAAUUGAACCCAUAAUCAGGAAAAGAUUAUAAUCUAAGCUCACUUGAGCAUUUUAUCAAGCAUUGAGUGCUCAUUAAGGCCUUAUGGUCCUUUUAUGCAGGAUUACACUUAGCCCAUUCCCCAUGCUUCUCUAUUUAUAAUUUUCCCAUAUCUUCUAAGAACACAUGCAUGCAAUGAAACCACCCUUAUCCCUAUGAAUUUCUAACUAAUGUCCCCUUAUAGCUAUGUAUAAAAUUAAGAGCUGAGGUGAUGAAGUCUUACCUCAUGGGAUGAAGAUUUUGGUGCUCCACUUGAUUAUCUUUAAUGUUUUUAACAAGGAUUUGUGGAGCACAUUUUGAUGAAAGGCACUUCCCCUCUCUUAGACCCUCCCUCUCACUCUAAAAGCACCAGGAAAUAGGCUCAAAAUGAUCUAUUGCACAGAAUAUAACAACAGGGGGUCGGGUUUAAAAUUUAGAAAUUUGGAGCCCCGACUCAGAUCUAUGAUCGCAUAUGCGAUCGCAAAGUUGACAUGUGGCCCGCAUAAUGGACUGCAAAAAUGCUCCCAAAAACCUGAACAAUCUGCCUGGAUAUGCGACGAGAAUGCGGUCCGUAUACCCAUUCUAUGGUAGCAAAAGUUCCAAGGGAAUUAUACGACGACUAUGCGGCCCGCAUAUCGAUUAUGCGAUCGCAUAUUUGGCCGCAUAGGUGAACUCAAAAUUAACCUUCACACUGCCUGACUCUGCGGUGACUAUGAGGUCUGCAUAACUAUUAUGUGACCGCAGAGUUGACCGUAGAAUUGCACUUUUCUGGGACUGAAUCAACUAUAAGGGUAUCAAUACUGACAUCUCUCACAUAAGCUACAUACGCGUCACACCCCUUCUCAACCAUUCGCUGAGCCUUAAGUAAAGAAAUAACUCUACUGGGUGUGUGAUCUAAGGUACCCCUCCACUCUACUCGCGGUAUACGAGGCAUAGCCAGCGUCACGGUUUUGGCGUGACAAUCAGGAAUAACAUAAUGGGGCGACAACUAGUCCAUGGCCAAGAUAACAUAAAAAUCUAUCAUGCUGAGCAAUAAUAAAUCGACUCUUGUCUCAAAGCCACUAAGAGCAAUCAAGCACGACCUAUAAACACGGUCCGGAAAGUGCCAAGCAUAACCUCGGUCGAGUAGUGACGAGGAAGGUCAGGGCCCUACUAGUUAUAUAUAUAUAUAUAAGAGUAAAAAUGAGGUAAAACGGUAUGAAGUGCGACAAUAUAACUAAAGACACUGUCACACCUCCUUUUUACACACCCGAGGGCGUAUAAGGUGAGUUUUUCGAUUUAAGUGACAUUACUCGAAAUGGGAUUAAUUAUUUAUCAGAGUCGCCACAUGGAAUAAUUUAAUUGGUGUUCUAAGUCACCGAUUUAUUUUAAAUCCCAAAUCGAGGAAAUUUCGACUUUCCUUUUGAAGUCUGCGAACCAGAAAUUCUAGAUAAGGAAUUCUGUUAACCCGGGAGAAGAUGUUAGACAUUCUCGGGUUCCGUGGUUCUAGCACUGUCACUUAAACUAUUAAUAAUGGGCUUAAUUAUCUGAUUAAUUACAUGUUUUAACCUGAGGUGCAUUUUUUAACUUAUUAACCGCUUUUAACUAUUUUAAACGCUUUUAGGAAGAUUCAACGUCAUUUAAAACAUGCCUUGAACCACGCCACAUGAAAUGCACCCGCGGUCCACGAUACACUUUAUUUAACGUUGUUGAGAAUUGAAGAUGGGUCACAUGAAAUGCAUACUCGAAUUUAAUAAACAAAAGGAAACCAAUUUAAAUAGCGCGCUUAAAGCAACUACGAGAAUUCAAAUUAAUAACAAGUUUUGCGAGGGCCAUGAGAAAAUUCAAUUAAUGGCACACCUUGAGUUUUAAAGAGUUAACAUUAAUUAAAAUGAGGGCCAUGGGUUAUCUAACUUGCUUAUAGCACACCUCAAGUCUAAAAAGGAAUAGGCAUUUUAGAGGCAAUUGAAACUAAUCAAUAUACGCUUAAAAUAAUCCACAAUUAUUCAAGCUUAUUUAAUACUAAAUUAAUAAAUCAUAUGAGGGCCAUGGAUGAUAUGGUGAAAAUAGAACACCUCAAUUUAAUCAAAAGAAUUACUUUCACUUAAGAUUUUAAAACAUAUUUACGCGACUACUGAAACUGCGCAUAGGCCUUCAUGCGUUUGGACUAGGCCUGCUAUGGGCAAAACCAAGCAGUAGCAAUUAAAUGAGCUACUGGGCUCGAGAAGCAGGCCCAAGCAGCAUAUGGCAAUACCAUUCCCAUUUGCAAAUGACCUCAAGUCCAGACCCAAAGUAAAUCCCUAUUCUCAUGACAAAGAAACGAAAACUAAAUAAUAUGACAACAUUUAAAACUGUAAAGAGACCAUUUGAGCUCAACUAAUUAUCAACGAUGCACAGUAAUUAUAAUGUGAAUAAUAGGCUUGAAAGGCUACAAAACCACAUCACAUGUCUAAGAUAAAUUCUGUUUUUGAAUUCAAUUGAGCUAGUGAUAUGGAGGCAAAAUUGUGCAACAUUCUUAUGUACAUCAGUCCUAAGCUAGUUUCUAACUGAUUGUAUGAAAUUUAAAACCUCAGUUAAAACCUUCUACUAAUAGAAACAGUAGCGAAAACCCAAGAGAUUAACAUGCCAUUACUUUGAAUCUAAAAACUGCAUCAGACUCUUAACAAAAUCAAACAAAAAAAAAGCAGCAGUAAUUCAUCUUAUACUAUAUCCAUAACAUGAGAAGGCUAAUAUAACAUGCUUAAGAUUAAAUUAUUACAAGAAUACUAAAUGAAUGGAGGAACAGGGAAAAUAAAACUCAAUAACAACUUGUAUUCAAUCAUGUUUCACAUUCAAAUUGCAGAUGUACACUUCACAUGUUGUCUAUAGUUUGAAAAAUACCUGAAAAUCAAGAGGAAAACAAAGAGGAUGAAGAGUUAGCAAUAGCAGCAAAUCAACUCAACAACCCAACUUCUUCAGUCCAUACUUAAACCCCAAAAAUUUAUACAAGAUCUCUAGUGCUUUUACCCCAAUAAAAAAAUGAAAACUAGCUGACCGUACUCGAAAUUUUCUUGUGUUUUCUAGUUCUAAAACUCCUAUCAGUGUGUAUUUUUUUAGUUUUAUUUGAUGCAAAGAAAAUGAGGCUUUCUAAAAUCUGUCUUUCUAAUGAAGGAAGAAUCCUUAUUUAUAGGCCUCUAAGGCCAUGUGCC